UACGUAGGGGGCAAGCGUUGUCCGGAUUCAUUGGGCGUAAAGAGCGUGUAGGCGGCCAGGUAGGUCGGUUGUGAAAACUGGAGGCUCAACCUUCAGAGGUCGACCGAAACCAUCUGGCUAGAGUCCGGGAGAGGAGAGUGGAAUUCCUGGUGUAGCGGUGGAAUGCGUAGAGAUCCGGAAGAACACCGGUGGCGAAGGCGGCCUGCUGGGCAGUUUUGCUGACACUGAGGCGCGACAGCGUGGGGAGCAAACAGG
This 255-nucleotide ribosomal RNA is filed under the name uncultured bacterium. Its description in RNAcentral is "partial 16S ribosomal RNA". It matches the Rfam family "Bacterial small subunit ribosomal RNA", at positions 524 to 776 of the family's 1533-position model. The record is from RNAcentral.